Molecule: ribosomal RNA, 1289 nt
Filed under: Klebsiella pneumoniae
Lineage: Bacteria; Pseudomonadati; Pseudomonadota; Gammaproteobacteria; Enterobacterales; Enterobacteriaceae
Description: partial 23S ribosomal RNA
Rfam family: Bacterial large subunit ribosomal RNA
Source: RNAcentral
CAGGUGGUCAGGUAGAGAAUACCAAGGCGCUUGAGAGAACUCGGGUGAAGGAACUAGGCAAAAUGGUGCCGUAACUUCGGGAGAAGGCACGCUGGUGUGUAGGUGAAGUCCCUGCGGAUGGAGCUGAGACCAGUCGAAGAUACCAGCUGGCUGCAACUGUUUAUUAAAAACACAGCACUGUGCAAACACGAAAGUGGACGUAUACGGUGUGACGCCUGCCCGGUGCCGGAAGGUUAAUUGAUGGGGUUAUCCGUAAGGAGAAGCUCUUGAUCGAAGCCCCGGUAAACGGCGGCCGUAACUAUAACGGUCCUAAGGUAGCGAAAUUCCUUGUCGGGUAAGUUCCGACCUGCACGAAUGGCGUAAUGAUGGCCAGGCUGUCUCCACCCGAGACUCAGUGAAAUUGAACUCGCUGUGAAGAUGCAGUGUACCCGCGGCAAGACGGAAAGACCCCGUGAACCUUUACUAUAGCUUGACACUGAACAUUGAGCCUUGAUGUGUAGGAUAGGUGGGAGGCUUUGAAGCGUGGACGCCAGUCUGCGUGGAGCCAACCUUGAAAUACCACCCUUUAAUGUUUGAUGUUCUAACGUUGGCCCCUGACCGGGGUUGCGGACAGUGUCUGGUGGGUAGUUUGACUGGGGCGGUCUCCUCCCAAAGCGUAACGGAGGAGCACGAAGGUUAGCUAAUCCUGGUCGGACAUCAGGAGGUUAGUGCAAUGGCAUAAGCUAGCUUGACUGCGAGCGUGACGGCGCGAGCAGGUGCGAAAGCAGGUCAUAGUGAUCCGGUGGUUCUGAAUGGAAGGGCCAUCGCUCAACGGAUAAAAGGUACUCCGGGGAUAACAGGCUGAUACCGCCCAAGAGUUCAUAUCGACGGCGGUGUUUGGCACCUCGAUGUCGGCUCAUCACAUCCUGGGGCUGAAGUAGGUCCCAAGGGUAUGGCUGUUCGCCAUUUAAAGUGGUACGCGAGCUGGGUUUAGAACGUCGUGAGACAGUUCGGUCCCUAUCUGCCGUGGGCGCUGGAGAAUUGAGGGGGGCUGCUCCUAGUACGAGAGGACCGGAGUGGACGCAUCACUGGUGUUCGGGUUGUCAUGCCAAUGGCACUGCCCGGUAGCUAAAUGCGGAAGAGAUAAGUGCUGAAAGCAUCUAAGCACGAAACUUGCCCCGAGAUGAGUUCUCCCUGAGACUUUAAGUCUCCUGAAGGAACGUUGAAGACGACGACGUUGAUAGGCCGGGUGUGUAAGCGCAGCGAUGCGUUGAGCUAACCGGUACUAAUGAACCGUGAGGCUUAACCUU